Molecule: long non-coding RNA, 289 nt
Organism: Selaginella moellendorffii
Lineage: Eukaryota; Viridiplantae; Streptophyta; Lycopodiopsida; Selaginellales; Selaginellaceae
Exons: 2
Source: RefSeq, a predicted model, not a curated record
CCUUGCAGGAAAAAGAGAGAAAAAGAAGAAGUUGAAGUUGAAGAAGAAGCUUCAAAGUUCUUGUGGCAUUCUACAUGGACUGCCUUAUGACUGCUCAGCAGCAAGAUUCGCUCGCGUGCUGCUGACAACAAAUCUUUCGAUUGGAGCAAACAGCAGCAAUUCUUUACCAGGUGAAAGAACCCGUGGCGCUGUAAGCUGAGAAUGGAGGUGAGAGAUUGUUCUCGUUUUCUUUCGUUUUUCUCCUCCUUGAUUUGUAAACAAGCGAUGAAUCGAAAUCUUCCUUCCCGCA